Molecule: unclassified non-coding RNA, 703 nt
Filed under: Daphne papyracea
Lineage: Eukaryota; Viridiplantae; Streptophyta; Magnoliopsida; Malvales; Thymelaeaceae
Description: partial contains small subunit ribosomal RNA, internal transcribed spacer 1, 5.8S ribosomal RNA, internal transcribed spacer 2, and large subunit ribosomal RNA
Rfam family: 5.8S ribosomal RNA (bases 283-438)
Source: RNAcentral
CUUAUCAUUUAGAGGAAGGAGAAGUCGUAACAAGGUUUCCGUAGGUGAACCUGCGGAAGGAUCAUUGUCGAAUCCUGCAAAGCAGAACAACCUGUGAACAUGUUUACAAAUGUGUUGAGGGGGCUUGGUGUCAUUUGCUCCAUCUCCUCUUGACUGGCCCAUGUGGCCAAGAUAACCAACCCCGGCACGGAUUGUGCCAAGGAAUUGUGAUAAAUGAAACGUUUUCCCAUCUAUCUAACAUACGAUUGUGUGGGGUAAUACGUGAUAUGUAUUAUAAAGAAUGACUCUCGGCAACGGAUAUCUCGGCUCUUGCAUCGAUGAAGAACGUAGCGAAAUGCGAUACUUGGUGUGAAUUGCAGAAUCCCGUGAACCAUCGAGUCUUUGAACGCAAGUUGCGCCCCAAGCCUUUGGGUCGAGGGCACGUCUGCCUGGGUGUCACGCAUUGUAGGCUCUACAACAGUAAUUGGUGUAGGACUGAUAUGGCUCUCCCGUACUCAUAGUAGUGCGGUUGGUUGAAAUAGAGUAACCAUUAAUGUCAUGUAUUUCAUGAUGAGCGGUGGUUUGCCUUGGCUUGCCCUCGUUAAGUCAUCGUGUAGCAUGUCAUUAGAGUUGGUUGCAUCUGUACUGCAAACCUUUGGAUGAAGAUAAUAGUACGCAUUGCGACCCCAGGUCAGGCGGGAAUACCCGCUGAGUUUAAGCAUAU